GGCCUCGUAGCUCAGCUGGUUGAGCAUACGCAUGCAAAGCGUUGGCGGCGUCCAUGCUUGGGUUCCAAUCCCACCGAUUCUG
RNAcentral lists this transfer RNA (82 nucleotides) under Echinostoma caproni. It matches the Rfam family "tRNA". From Rfam's summary of the family: Transfer RNA (tRNA) molecules are approximately 80 nucleotides in length. Their secondary structure includes four short double-helical elements and three loops (D, anti-codon, and T loops). The record is from Rfam by way of RNAcentral. Lineage: Eukaryota; Metazoa; Platyhelminthes; Trematoda; Plagiorchiida; Echinostomatidae.